This 73-nucleotide transfer RNA is filed under the name Caudoviricetes sp. RNAcentral's name for it is "tRNA-OTHER". It matches the Rfam family "tRNA". From Rfam's summary of the family: Transfer RNA (tRNA) molecules are approximately 80 nucleotides in length. Their secondary structure includes four short double-helical elements and three loops (D, anti-codon, and T loops). Lineage: Duplodnaviria; Heunggongvirae; Uroviricota; Caudoviricetes. The record is from RNAcentral.
UGAAUCUUAGCUCAGAUGGUAAGAGCGCUAAAGGAAACUUUAGAGGUCGUUGGUUCGAAUCUAACAGAUUCCU